AUGUGCGCGCCUAGUAAAAUGGUCCGGCGAUCGUCGUUGACGCUCCUGCUCUGCCUCGCCGCUGCCGUCGCCGGUGUACUUCAAGUUCGCGGCCAGCGAGCGCCUAGUCUCGAAGGUUUCAUCACCAUCGACUGCGGCUUGCCGGAGCAGAGCAGCUACGUGGACCCUGUCACCAAGAUCCGUGCCAUGUCGGACGCUGGCUUCACGGACGCCGGCUACAACCGCAACACCUCGGCCGAGUACAUGGGCCAGCUGCGGAUGGCCCCAAACUACCACAACGUGCGCAGCUUCCCGGACACGGACCGCGGCUGCUACACCCUGCCGUCCCUCACGCCGGGCUCCAAGUACCUGCUCCGGGCCUUGUUCAGGUACGGCAACUACGACGGCCUCGACAGGCUCCCGGUCUUCGACCUCUACCUCGGCGUCAACUUCUGGCGGACGGUGAACAUCUCCACGGCCGAGGGAGUGGUGCAGGCUGAGGUCAUCGCCGUUGUGCUGGACGACUCGGUGCAGGUUUGCCUGGUGAACACUGGCUCCGGGACACCAUUUAUCUCCUCCUUGGCCCUGAGGCCUCUGGAGAACACGUUGUAUCGGCAGGUGAAUGCGACACAGGCGCUUGUCCUCGUCGACAGACGCAACAUGGGCGACACGGGCAACUUCACCAUUAGGUACCCGGACGACCCAUACGACCGGGCUUGGUUACCGUGGAGCAACCCGAAGCUGUGGCUGGACAUCUCAACGAAGGAGAAGGUUCAAGAGAAUAUCGGCAGCCUCCGCCUCCACGCUCCGUCUGCUGUGUUGCAGACUGCCGUCACGGUGCUCAACGACUCUGAGUCCAAGACCGUCGAGUUGUCGUGGAAGACGGAGAUGGACCACGUCGACCGAAUGCUCGGAUGCGUCGCCAUCUUGUAUUUCGCCGAGCUGCAGAUCCUGGCCGGCGAUGCCGUGCGCGAGUUCAACAUCAUCGUCGACGACGGACCCAACCACCCAUAUAGGCCCAAGUACCUCGUCGGUGACGCCUUAUACGAUGUUAAACCCCACGAAUGCUUGAGCCGGUACAACAUCACCAUGGUGGCCACGGCCAACUCGACACUGCCACCGACCAUCAACGCCUUCGAGUAUUUCUCCGUCAUCUCUACAGCCAACGUUGGGACCGACCUUCAGGAUGUUUCUGCCAUCAACGCAAUCAAGGUUAAGUAUCAGAUGAAAAAGAAUUGGAUGGGUGACCCAUGCGCUCCGAAGACUUUUGUGUGGGAUGGGUUGACCUGCAGCUAUGUUAUAUCUGGGCGUCCAAGAAUCACAAGCAUAAAUAUGUCAUCGGGCGGUUUGAAAGGCGAUAUAUCAUCUUAUUUCGCUGAUCUCAAAGACAUCCAAUCCUUGGAUCUUUCGUACAACAAACUGACAGGAUCAAUUCCUAAUGUUCUUGCACAACUACCCUCUCUCGUGUUGUUAGAUUUGACAGGUAAUCAAAUUAAUGGAUCCAUCCCCUCCGGGCUUCUAAAGAGAAGUCAAGAUGGCACCCUAACUCUAAGAUACAACAAAAACCCAAACCUUUGCAUCGACAACAACUCUUGCCAACCAACAAAAAGGGAAAACAAUUUUAAGAUUGUCGUUUGUAUUGUUGUUCCGAUAGUUGCGGUUGUUGUGAUUGGAGCACUUGUAGUACUUCUGAUUCUCAUGGUGAGAAAAAAGAAAGGAUCUACAAAGAGCAGCAAACAACAAGACCGUCAACACCUGGACAACCACCGAUUCACGUACAAAGAACUAGAGACCAUAACAGACAACUUCAAGAUAGUGCUUGGCCAAGGAGGGUUUGGAACUGUUUAUGAUGGCUUCUUGCAGGAUGGUACCCAAGUUGCAGUCAAGUUGCGGUCUCAAUCCUCCAGUCAAGAUGUAAGAGAGUUCUUGACAGAGGCUCAGACAAUAACGAAGAUCCAUCACAAGAAUCUUGUAUCAUUAGUUGGUUAUUGCAAGGAUGGGAUAUAUUUGGCUCUUGUCUAUGAGCAUAUGUCUAAAGGAAAUCUAGAAGAUAAACUCAGAGGAAAGAACGACAAGGAUGUAUCCUUGACCUGGAGACAGAGGCUCUGCAUCGCACUACAAUCCGCACAAGGGCUUGAGUAUUUGCACAAGUCAUGCAGCCCACCCUUUGUGCAUCGUGAUGUGAAGACAUCAAACAUCCUACUGAAUAAAAAUCUUGAGGCCAAAGUGGCUGAUUUUGGCUUGAUGAAGGCUUUCAGUAAAGAAGAUGAUACACAUAUAUCUACGGUGCGGGUGAUUGGCACAAGAGGCUACCUUGCCCCUGAGUAUGCAGCGGCCUUGCAAUUGAAUGAAAAGAGCGACGUAUAUAGCUUCGGUGUCGUCUUACUGGAGGUAAUCACAGGACAACCCACCAUCCUUGAAUCUACGGAGGUCAUCCAUAUCGUCCAAUGGGCACGACUUCACCUUUCGGGAGGCAACAUCGAGGAAGUGGUGGACGGCCGAAUGCAAGGCGACUUCAAUGUGAACGGCAUGUGGAAGGCCAUGGACCUAGCGCUCAAGUGCACCGAGCAUGACCCCGCACAACGACCCACAAUGACGGAUGUGGCUGCCCAGUUGCAAUACUGCCUCGAGUUGGAGAGCGAAGAUCAAAACAGAGGCAAUGCUAACAAUAACUUCCACAUGAUGAAAGAUAGCAGUCGUGACCGUGAUCUACCGAUGAUGUAA
This 2703-nucleotide ribosomal RNA is filed under the name Triticum aestivum (bread wheat). RNAcentral describes it as "partial small subunit ribosomal RNA". Lineage: Eukaryota; Viridiplantae; Streptophyta; Magnoliopsida; Poales; Poaceae. The record is from RNAcentral.